This 492-nucleotide ribosomal RNA is filed under the name uncultured bacterium. RNAcentral describes it as "partial 16S ribosomal RNA". It matches the Rfam family "Bacterial small subunit ribosomal RNA", at positions 29 to 507 of the family's 1533-position model. The record is from RNAcentral.
AGUGAACGCUGGCGGUAGGCCUAACACAUGCAAGUCGAACGGCAGCACAGUAAGAGCUUGCUCUUACGGGUGGCGAGUGGCGGACGGGUGAGGAAUACAUCGGAAUCUACUUUUUCGUGGGGGAUAACGUAGGGAAACUUACGCUAAUACCGCAUACGACCUACGGGUGAAAGCAGGGGAUCUUGGGACCUUGCGCGAUUGAAUGAGCCGAUGUCGGAUUAGCUAGUUGGCGGGGUAAAGGCCCACCAAGGCGACGAUCCGUAGCUGGUCUGAGAGGAUGAUCAGCCACACUGGAACUGAGACACGGUCCAGACUCCUACGGGAGGCAGCAGUGGGGAAUAUUGGACAAUGGGCGCAAGCCUGAUCCAGCCAUACCGCGUGGGUGAAGAAGGCCCUCGGGUUGUAAAGCCCUUUUGUUGGGAAAGAAAAGCAGCAGGUUAAUACCCCGCUGUUCUGACGGUACCCAAAGAAUAAGCACCGGCUAACUUCGUG